Molecule: ribosomal RNA, 254 nt
Filed under: uncultured bacterium
Lineage: Bacteria
Description: partial 16S ribosomal RNA
Rfam family: Bacterial small subunit ribosomal RNA
Source: RNAcentral
GACGAACCGUGCGAACGUUAUUCGGAAUCACUGGGCUUAAAGCGCGUGUAGGCGGGAGGGCACGUCCGUCGCUGAAAUCCCCCGGCUCAACCGGGGAACGGGCGCGGAUACGACCUUCCUGGAGGGGCGUAGGGGGACCUGGAACUUCCGGUGGAGCGGUGAAAUGCGCAGAUAUCGGGAAGAACACCCGUGGCGAAGGCGGCUCUCUGGCCCGAUACUGACGCUGAGGCACGAAAGCGUGGGGAGCAAACAGG